UAAGUAAAUCCUUUAAGACUUAGAGCGUUGCUUCUGGGUACCUGCAGAUGGGUUCAAGGCCUGUAGUGUAUGCUGUUGCUUGCUUGAAAUGGGAAUUUUUGUCCAUGCAGAUCGAUCCUCCAGGCGGUUUUUAUAUGCCAGAUAGUAGAAGAGUUCUGUAGCUAGGAUGGGCUCGUUUGAAUGUUCUCAAUGUUAUUUUCGCGAGGCAAUUUUUUUUGCCACCAGGAGGAAUGUCGGAAUGUAGGACAGUUGAAUAUAUCCCAUAUGUAGAACAAGAGAAAUUUUACUGUCUUUGUGGAUACCUAGAGAGAUCAUUUUUUUUUUAUUUUGGUUUCUCUUAAUAGCCGAGGUAUUGUGGAUACCUAGAGAGAUCAAUUUUUUAAUGUAGAUUUUGGUAUCUCUUAAUAGCCGAGGUAUUAAGAGAAGAGGUAUACCAAGUUUCUUAAUAAAAAAAGGAUACCUCACUGU
RNAcentral lists this small RNA (468 nucleotides) under Oryza sativa Japonica Group (Japanese rice). Its description in RNAcentral is "misc RNA Os04g0675000". Lineage: Eukaryota; Viridiplantae; Streptophyta; Magnoliopsida; Poales; Poaceae. The record is from RNAcentral.